AUCAGGAGAAUGGAUACGUAAAUUGUUGCCUAUCACGGAAUACUAAAUAGCAAAGAAAAUGAACGAGCUGGAGUUAUGCGGGUCAACAUGGGACAAUGUCCCAGGACUGCGAGGAAAACGGGAAAUGCAGAGGUCUGUCUACUCUAUACCAGUCCCAGUCUUGGACUGGGGCAAGUGGGGCCCUGUCCCAGGUCCCUCCAUCUAGGAGUCCCUGCCCGUUGGUUCCCCUUCCUUAAAAUUGUUUACCUCCCCAGUCAGCGCCUGGGACCAACUGGACGGGGCUGGCCGCUCUCUGCACAGGGACUUCAGCGCUGGGACCGGGACCUGCUGGGAGUGGGACCUGCUGGGACUUCCCUCUUCACAGGCCCCUGCACAGCACACCCAGGGGAUCGGAGAACCUGGGCAGCUCUGGACUGUGCCUUUCGGUGCCCAGCCAGGUUCCAGGCAGCCGCCGAUCGCCCCAGCUGGCUGGUGCCCGCGCUCUUCCGCCGCAGAGCGCGAGACCGGGUUGCCCGCAUGGUGCGGACACAGCAUUUUGGGCCACUCAGGUCGAUGAUGUAGACGGGGACUCUGCCAAAUUCAAUUCAAGAGCUGCUUCGCGAAGGGAGGGAGCAUUGGCGAAGAUUUUCCUUAGCCUCUGUUGUCUCCUGUAUCUUUCCAGCUCUGCGAACUUCUCUGAGGAAUUGUUUCCAGUGUCUCCAAGUCUCUUCUGGACACAUCACAGAAGGUUCACGCAGGAAAGGGACUUAGGAGGUCCUCCAGCCCAACUCGGGGGAAAGGAGAACUUCUAGGGCUGACCCACCAGACUUCUGGUAAGGAGAUCCGUCUCGGGGCAGAGGGGUUACAGCAAAUGGAGAGACUGCCCUCUUCCAGGGUAUAAAGAUGUUUUCGAAGACAUAAAAGCUCGACUUCGCCAAAGACCAGAGAAAAUUGUUCCUGAGCUUGAGUAUCAGUGAGAAAUUCGAAGAUGGCUCUUCUCUUCCCAGAGAAUGCUCUCCUUCAUGUGGGAGCCUACCUCCAGGCCUCUCGGUCCCAUUCUGCUCAAGUGGGGAGUCUGUAGAAAUAUUAUGCCACACUUGACAUCAACCCUACAUAUUGGCCUAUCUCCCUCCCACCCCAUUUCCUAGAUGUCGGUAUUCCCCCAACACCUAAGAGGAAAUAAGUUAUCAUUCCUAUCUUGAGUGACUCAUUUGACAGAAAUCAGAAGCUCCCAUCUCAAGUAAGGGUUGGACCAUGAGGUCAUAGUCUGACAGCUGGUGAACAGGUACGUGAAUUUAGAGGUAGUUAUGUAAUCCAGCAGUGCUCCCAGAUAGAAAAAUCAACUCCUGAACAUACGACAAUAUGGAUGAACCCUGACAUAAGUACGAUGAGUAAGAGAAGCCAAACGAACAAAAGUAUAUACUGUGUGUCUCAAUGUCUAUAAAAUUUUAGACAAUGCAAACACAUCUACAGAGACAGAAAGCAGAUCAAUGGUUGCCUGAGAAUGGGGAACGGGUAAGGAUUACAAGGGGUGGGAGAAAUCUUUUGAGGGUGAUGGAUGUGUUUAUUAACUUGAUUGUGGACAUAUACAUGUGCUCAACCUCAAAUUGUACAACCUUAAUUAUGUGCUGUUUAUUGUAUGUCAAUUAUACCUCAAUAAAGAUGUAUAAGCAACAACAACAACAACAAAAUCUAACCUGGGUAAU
Long non-coding RNA from Lutra lutra (Eurasian river otter), 1685 nucleotides. RefSeq lists it as uncharacterized. The record is from RefSeq and is a predicted model, not a curated record. The transcript is spliced from 5 exons. NCBI's taxonomy places the organism in Eukaryota, Metazoa, Chordata, Mammalia, Carnivora, Mustelidae.